Molecule: ribosomal RNA, 176 nt
Filed under: uncultured Acinetobacter sp.
Lineage: Bacteria; Pseudomonadati; Pseudomonadota; Gammaproteobacteria; Moraxellales; Moraxellaceae
Description: partial 16S ribosomal RNA
Source: RNAcentral
ACAGAGUUAGCCGGUGCUUAUUCUGCGAGUAACGUCCACUAUCUCUAGGUAUUAACUAAAGUAGCCUCCUCCUCGCUUAAAGUGCUUUACAACCAUAAGGCCUUCUUCACACACGCGGCAUGGCUGGAUCAGGCUUGCGCCCAUUGUCCAAUAUUCCCCACUGCUGCCUCCCGUAG